UACGUAGGGGGCUAGCGUUGUCCGGAAUCAUUGGGCGUAAAGAGCGUGUAGGCGGUCCGGUAAGUCCGCUGUGAAAGUCGGGGGCUCAACCCUCGGAUGCCGGUGGAUACUGUCGGGCUAGAGUGCGGAAGAGGCGAGUGGAAUUCCUGGUGUAGCGGUGAAAUGCGCAGAUAUCAGGAGGAACACCAAUUGCGAAGGCAGCUCGCUGGGACGUGACUGACGCUGAGACGCGAAAGCGUGGGGAGCAAACAGG
This 253-nucleotide ribosomal RNA is filed under the name uncultured bacterium. Its description in RNAcentral is "partial 16S ribosomal RNA". It matches the Rfam family "Bacterial small subunit ribosomal RNA", at positions 524 to 776 of the family's 1533-position model. The record is from RNAcentral.